Non-coding RNA from Pluteus cervinus, 95 nucleotides. NCBI's taxonomy places the organism in Eukaryota, Fungi, Basidiomycota, Agaricomycetes, Agaricales, Pluteaceae. The record is from the annotation of a GenBank genome assembly.
UCUCUCAUAGUAUAACGGGUUAAUACACACUGCGUAUUUUAAUGAAUUCAUCGACUUAUUGGUGUGAGAUCCGGGUUCAAUUCCCGGUGGGAGAA